This 3699-nucleotide ribosomal RNA is filed under the name Triticum aestivum (bread wheat). RNAcentral's name for it is "partial small subunit ribosomal RNA". Lineage: Eukaryota; Viridiplantae; Streptophyta; Magnoliopsida; Poales; Poaceae. The record is from RNAcentral.
AUGGCAGAGUCGCUGCUACUCCCUCUUGUGCGCGGCGUGGCCGGCAAGGCCGCAGAUGCACUUGUCGAGGCCAUGACCCGCAUGUGUGGCCUUAACGAUGACCGCCGAACGCUAGAGCGCCAUCUCCUAGCCGUCGUGUGCAAGUUGAACAAUGCGGAGGAGAGGAGCGAGACAAAUAUCUAUGUCAAGAGCUGGAUGAAGGAGCUCAAGUCUGUCGCCUACGAGGCUGAUGACGUGCUCGACGACUUCCAGUACGAGGCUCUGCGUCGCCAAUCAAAGAUCAGCAAGUCCACUACCCGCAAGGUGCUCAGCUACGUCACCCCCCACAGCCCACUGCUCUUCCGUUUUGAAAUGAGCAAGAAACUGAAGAACAUCCUCGAGAAGAUCAAUACGUUGGUUGAGGAGAUGAACAAAUUUGGCCUGGAGAAUUCUGAACAUAGGGAUGAGCAGCGACAUCCUUGGAGGCAGACGCACUCCAAAGUGGAUGACUCUACCAAAAUAUUUGGGAGAGAUGAUGAUAAGGAGGUGGUGGUGAAGUUGCUGUUGGACCAGCAAGAUCAGCAAAAAGUGCAGGUGUUCCCCAUCUUUGGGAUGGGAGGUCUUGGCAAGACGACUCUUGCUAAGAUGGUAUAUAAUGACCAAGAGGUCCACCGACAUUUCAAGUUAAAGAUGUGGCACUGUGUGUCAGAGAACUUUGAUGUCAUUGCUCUUGUCAAAUCCAUCAUUGAAUUGGCUGCAAAUGGAAGUUGUUACCAUCCUGGCAGCAUUGAACUACUGCAAAAGCAACUUGAGCAAGUCAUUGGCCGAACAAGGUUUAUGCUCGUGCUUGAUGAUGUGUGGAAUGAAGAUGAGAAUAAAUGGGAGGAUAUCCUGAAGCCUCUUUUGUGUUCUGUUGGUGGACCAGGAAGUGUAAUAGUUGUCACAACACGAAGCCAGAAAGUGGGCUCUAUAAUGCAGACCCUUCAACCCUAUAAGCUAGCAUGUCUGAGUGAACAAGAUUCAUGGGAAUUGUUUGCACAAAAAGCAUAUAGCAACGGUUUAGAGAAGGAGAAAGCAGAGUUGGUCAGCAUUGGGAGACGUAUUGUCAACAAAUGCAGGGGGCUACCUCUUGCUCUCAAGACAAUGGGUGGAUUGCUAGGUUCAUAUCAACAAGUACAAGAAUGGAAGGCCGUCGAAGAAAGUAAUAGUACGGAUAAUGUUAGAGGGAAAGAUGAGAUCAUAUCCAUCCUAAAGUUGAGCUACAGACACCUAUCAUCUGAAAUCAAACAAUGUUUUGCAUUCUUAGCAGUUUUCCCCAAGGAUUAUAAGAUGGACAAGGACACAUUGAUCCAACUAUGGAUGGCAAAUGGUUUUAUUCAAGAGAAGGGAACAAUUGAUUUGAAAACAAGAGGAGAAUUCAUUUUCAAUGAGUUGGUUUGGAGGUCCUUCCUCGAAGAUAAGCAGGAGCAAACACACAAUGAUGGUACAAGAAGUUAUGUGACUAUUAAUUGUAAAAUGCAUGAUUUAAUGCAUGAUCUAGCAAAAGAUUUCACAGAUGAAUGUGCAAGUAUAGAAGAACUGGCUCAGCAGAGAGCAUUGUUACAAGAUGUUUAUCACUUGCAAACCUCAGACGCUGAACUGGAACAAAUCAGUGGGUUAUGCAAAGGCAGAACAUACCUCCGCACUUUGUUAGCUUCUUCAGAAUCAUAUAUGGAUUUUAAUUAUAAUAAUUAUAAUUUUCUGAGCAAAUCACACAAGGAUAUUAAGGAGUUGCAACAGGUAUUGUCAUCACUAAGAGCAUUGCAUUGCUCCCCCACUGCAGCUGUCAUUUGCAAGGCCAUAAAUCCAAAACAUUUACGGUAUCUUGACCUCUUCGGGUCUGACAUCGUUAGGUUACCAGAUUCAAUAUGUAUGUUGUAUAACCUACAAACACUGAGGCUCAUAAAUUGCCAGGAGUUGCAGCAGUUACCAGAAAACAUGGCAAGAUUGAUAAAGCUCAUCCAUCUUUAUCUUUCUGGUUGUUAUAGUCUCAAAAGUAUGUCUCCAAACUUUGGUCUACUGAAGAACCUUCACAUAUUAACAACAUUUGUUGUGGGUACUGGAUAUGGCCUUGGGAUAGAACAGCUCAAAGGUUUGCAACACCUUAGCAAUAGAUUGGAACUAGUGAAUUUGAGCAACAUAAAGAGUGGGGAGAAUGCAAAAGAAGCCAAUCUCUGUCAAAAGGAAAAUCUAAGUGAGUUGUUGUUCUCUUGGGACCAACAAAUAGAUGAUGAGCCUACAGAUGUGGAAGAAAUGCUUCAGGGAUUAGAGCCUAACAGUAAUAUCCAAAAGUUGGAGAUACAUGGAUAUGGUGGCCUGGAAAUAUCACAGUGGAUGAGAAACCCUCAAAUGUUUAACUGCUUGAGAGAACUCAAAUUUUUUGACUGCCCAAAAUGCAAGAGUAUACCUGUAGUCUGGCUAUCGGUAUCUCUAGAGAUUUUGCUCUUAGAGAAGAUGGAUAGCCUGAUAACAUUAUUAUGUAAUAAUCUUGAUGUGGAAUCUGGAUUCAUUAGCCCUCUGCAAAUUUUCCCAUGGUUGAAGAGAAUGAUGUUGAUUGACCUACCAAGACUGCAGAUAUGGUCUGAAAAUAGUGUGGGGAUGCCUAGUGAUAGCUUGGUAACAUUCCCAAUGCUUGAAGAGCUAAAAAUAGAAAAUUGCCCUGAGUUUGCAAGUAUUUCAACGACCCUCACUGUCAGCUUUCUAGGAAUAAAGGGAGCUCAAGGACCUCUUGAAAAACUUAAGUGUUUGACUCUGAAAGGCCCCAACAGGUUGGUUACAAGCUUCAGAUUGUCCAUAUCACAGCUUAUGCUUUGGAAAUGCUUUCACUUCAUGGAAGAGCUGACGAUUGAUGGAUGCAGUGAUCUUGUCUGCUGGCCGAAUGAGCAACUGCGGCUCUUUGAUCGCCUGCGCGUCCUGUGUAUCAGAUAUUGUGACAAACUGGAUGGGUGGUCGCAUCAAAAGGGUACCCUUCCGCUGUCCUUGGAGAAAUUGGAUAUUUCAGACUGCAGAAGUCUAGCCAAGCUGCCUUCAAAGCUUGGGAAUCUAGCUAAGCUGAGGAGUCUCAAUGUGAGUGGGUGCAGUGGCCUGAAAGCGCUGUCUGAUGGGAUGGAUGGCCUCACUUCUCUUGGGGAAUUAAAGAUUACUGAGUCAGAUAUGAAGGGAUUCCCGCAUGGUCUCCUGGAGCGGUUGCCCGCCCUCGAACGCUUAAGCAUACUUUUUUGCCCAGAGUUGGCAAGACGAUGCAGAGAAGUGAUAACAGGUGAUGAAUCGAUGUACCUGCAGCUCGGGAGUUCUGAAAGCCUCCUCGACAGCCGUGCGCGGAGCGACCUGGAGGGGGCAACCACUGUCCUCCUCGGCAGGGUGCGGAGGGGGAAGGAAGGAAGCAAUGAUGGAAGGAAGGUUCCGCCGCGUGCACCCCGGCCUGGGGCAACUUCUGUUCUCCUCGCCAGAGCGCACGCCGAGGCGUGGAAGAGAUGGAGCCAGAUUUGCCUGCGCCGACGGAGACGAGAGGUGGUGGAGAAGGAGCAGAGAGGAUUAACGGGCUGGGCUGGGCUGGAUCAUUAUUUGCCUUGUUCCUUGCUUUAUAUUCUGUGUACGACAUCAGAAAUACUUCCAGUCCAUAUUUAUUUUCCGUUCUUUCUCUUUGCGGACGCUAGAAGUAAUAUUUCAUACUGUACAUGA